CUGGCGGCGUGCUUAACACAUGCAAGUCGAGCGGUAACGCGGGGGCAACCCUGGCGACGAGCGGCGAACGGGUGCGUAAUGCAAUGGGAAUCUGCCUGGUAGUGGGGAAUAACCCGGGGAAACUCGGGCUAAUGCCGCAUACGACCUACGGGUGAAAGCGGGGGACCGUAAGGCCUCGCGCUAUCGGAUGAGCCCAUGUCGGAUUAGCUAGUUGGUAGGGUAACGGCCUACCAAGGCGACGAUCCGUAGCUGGUCUGAGAGGACGGCCAGCCACACUGGGACUGAGACACGGCCCAGACUCCUACGGGAGGCAGCAGUGGGGAAUAUUGGACAAUGGGGGAAACCCUGAUCCAGCGACGCCGCGUGUGUGAAGAAGGCCUGCGGGUUGUAAAGCACUUUCGGUGGGAACGAAAUAUGCCGGGCCAAUACCCCGGCAGGCUGACGUUACCCAAUGAAGAAGCACCGGCUAACUCUGUGCCAGCAGCCGCGGUAAUACAGAGGGUGCGAGCGUUAAUCG
Molecule: ribosomal RNA, 517 nt
Filed under: uncultured bacterium
Lineage: Bacteria
Description: bacterial SSU rRNA
Rfam family: Bacterial small subunit ribosomal RNA
Source: RNAcentral